AAUGCACCAAUUUGUAAGUCGCUCUGGAUAAGAGCGUCUGCUAAAUGAGUCCAC
Molecule: non-coding RNA, 54 nt
Organism: Salmo salar (Atlantic salmon)
Lineage: Eukaryota; Metazoa; Chordata; Actinopteri; Salmoniformes; Salmonidae
Source: Rfam